Molecule: transfer RNA, 72 nt
Filed under: Herdmania momus (red throated ascidian)
Lineage: Eukaryota; Metazoa; Chordata; Ascidiacea; Stolidobranchia; Pyuridae
Description: transfer RNA-Gly (UCC)
Source: RNAcentral
UGUGACGUAGUAGAAGUGUAAUAUGUUUAAUUUCCAAUUAAAAGAUCUCCUUAAUUUAUGGUAGUGUCAUAA